Molecule: unclassified non-coding RNA, 229 nt
Filed under: Glomus sp.
Lineage: Eukaryota; Fungi; Glomeromycota; Glomeromycetes; Glomerales; Glomeraceae
Description: partial contains 5.8S ribosomal RNA and internal transcribed spacer 2
Rfam family: 5.8S ribosomal RNA (bases 1-65)
Source: RNAcentral
GUGAAUCAUCGAAUUUUUGAACGCAAAUUGCACUCUCCUCGGAGAGUAUGCCUGUUUGAGGGUCAGCCUAUAAAAAUCGACAUCGUUGCGGUUUCGCGGGGGGGUUCGUGGGAAAUUGGGUAAUCUUAAAUCCUUUUGAUUUAAGCGACUUAAAAUGUUCUUUUGGUUCAAUGAACGUUUCUAAGAUCUAUUUCUUAAAACGUUAAAGGAAUGGAUUUUUACUAGAGGU